Molecule: long non-coding RNA, 257 nt
Filed under: Sorghum bicolor (sorghum)
Lineage: Eukaryota; Viridiplantae; Streptophyta; Magnoliopsida; Poales; Poaceae
Description: long non-coding RNA (SBIC_LNC015992)
Source: RNAcentral
CUUGGUUCUAGUAUUCACAUAAAAUGAAGAGACAAACAUGUAUGAUUUAUAACCCCAAAUUAACCAACUGACCUAAUUCAACAUGUUUAAUCCUUUAAUCUUUGUUCUUAGUACUACCUUCGUGAUCCCACACUCCUAAUAAUAUAAGCUAAUAUGUUGCACAUUCAAUCUUUGGAAGAUAUAAACAAAACAUAAAUAUAGAUAGAUUAUCUUUCCAUUAGGUUGAGCCAUUUGAUCUGAAAAAUGCUACACUCAUG